This 540-nucleotide ribosomal RNA is filed under the name uncultured Agaricomycetes. RNAcentral's name for it is "eukaryotic LSU rRNA". The stretch from base 179 to 332 matches the Rfam family "5.8S ribosomal RNA". Lineage: Eukaryota; Fungi; Basidiomycota; Agaricomycetes. The record is from RNAcentral.
UUCUUGGUCAUUUUANAGGAAGUAAAAGUCGUAACAAGGUUUCCGUAGGUGAACCUGCGGAAGGAUCAUCAUUGAAUUUCCCGGUUACUCACCGGCAGAGUGCACACUCACGCCGUCUUCCAGACGGCAAUAUUCUAACCCAAUUAAGUAUGUGAAUGUGUUAUAUUGUAAAAUAUACAACUUUCAACAACGGAUCUCUUGGCUCUCGCAUCGAUGAAGAACGCGGCGAAAUGCGAUAAGUAAUGUGAAUUGCAGAUUUCAGUGAAUCAUCGAAUCUUUGAACGCAUCUUGCGCUCCUAGGUUUUCCGAGGAGCAUGCCUGUUUGAGUGCCCAGAAUAAUAUCAAUUAACUACUUCGGUAGUAAUUGGAUUUGGAGGUCUGCAGUGAUCCAAAGCUGCUCCUCCUAAAUAAGUCAGCCAGUUGAUGUACUGCCGUCGGCUUGAUAGUAAAUGUCUAUGCUGCGAAAGUACGUGCACUAAGGCUGGAUAAUCGUCCUCGGACAAUCCCUGAGCCUCGGGGCCUCAAAUCAGGAGGACUACC